Molecule: non-coding RNA, 282 nt
Organism: Vicia faba (fava bean)
Lineage: Eukaryota; Viridiplantae; Streptophyta; Magnoliopsida; Fabales; Fabaceae
Source: the annotation of a GenBank genome assembly
CAAGAGUUCACCUCGAAACUUGAAAGCUUUGGCUCAAUUGAUAGGAAACGACUUAUAGAAGACAAUGAUGGAUGCAAUAGAUGUGAUGUGAUGAUAGAGUAUUUGAGAAAAUUUGGCCGAGAUUUUGGGAUGGAAUUUGGAAGAGAAUUUGGGUCAAAACUCUGUUCGAAGGAUAUGGAAGAUAUGAAGAACAUGUUAGAGAGCACAAGGAAGAAAUUGGCUUUUCUAGUUGUACUACUUAUUUGUUCUUGGGUUUACUUUGUCAUAGUUUUAACAGCCUGA